This 2454-nucleotide long non-coding RNA is filed under the name Homo sapiens (human). RNAcentral describes it as "HSALNT0336807". The record is from RNAcentral. Lineage: Eukaryota; Metazoa; Chordata; Mammalia; Primates; Hominidae.
UCCGGCUCCCCACAGCUGGGGUUUUGCUGUCUUCAACCCUCGGGCGGGGGACGUCCGGCAGCUCUGCAAACGCGCAGACACGCGAACCCCAUCGCCUCGCGCGCCCUUUGGCUCCGCUGGUGCGUGUCGGGGAUGCGGCCGCGCAGGCGCUCGCUCCCUGGCUUCCUGGCCGGGUAGCGGGCGUUCGGCUACCGGAGUCCAGCCUAAGGGCCCAGCCGAGGUCUCCCCGCGCGAGGCGGUUGCGCUAGGUGAGCGGGUACCGCGGCCGCGCCUCCCUUGUCAUUUACUCAGCGGUCAGAGGCAUCCUGCGUCUGGGAGUCCCAAGUGCCUUCGGCUGGGUGCCCCUGUCCGAUCCUCAAAAGGAAAGCACAAAUCCCGGGUGCGAGUCUAACCCAGGACCGAACUUUCCCGCGAACCUGAAGUUACCAUGGGGCGGGAGCCACCUUAGCGCCGCGUCCGCCCGCCCCUCGCACCGGCUAGGAUGCUGCGGAAGGCAGGGGCGCCGAGAGGCAAGGGUGAAAGACGCCGUCCAUACCCCCAAAGCCCGAACCUGCAUCUCCUCUGCGAGGCGCAGGGCGGGAGGACCGCUGCAGUUGGGAGCCGGCUCCGGACAGGCAAAGCGACCCGACAGGUAACCUUCCACAGGCCCACACAUGUGUUAUCAGCCAUACCUUAGGACAGAAGGAAUGAGUUUGCAGAAAGGAUGCUCUUCAGAACUCAUGAAGACAUAAGGUGCUUCAAAAGAGGAGACUUUCGGAACAUGAGCAGGGAAAUUGUCACUUGAUAGAUGACAAGCAUUGUGAGAAACAACAGUUUGCCUUUCUUCAUUCCCUUCCUGGUUAUCUUUCCUGUCACAUGAAGAAGAAAUGAAACACCAGAGAGAAUCAGGUUAUCAUCAUCUACACCAGCCACUGUCACUGGCCUUCAAAGUUCAACCUCCCUGGAACUCCAGAACUCCCCACUUUAUAAGAUGAAUGGCUAAUUGGAUCCUAGUACAUAAGGAAACACUGGCAAAAUAGCGGUAUAUAACAAAUGUUUCUUUUUAUGAUAGAUCUACAUCUGAAACAACGGUGAAAAAGCAUGCAUUAAAUUAAAAAGCAUAGUCUUCCAUUUGUAAGUAAUUUUGUUAUGUGCUGCUUAUGGGAGAUUGUUUAGUUAAAGCUAUAUUACUGCAAAAGAGAGGCAAACAGAGACAGCACAGCACAUUAGUAAAACACUAAAGCUUUUAAUUUCCUCAUUCAUUCAUUAAAGAAAUAUUUUCUUAGAGAUUAUGUUUGGCAAUAUGACACAUUUUUGUAGAAAAAUGCAAUGAGACAAUAAUAAAAGUUGUCUUAUAGAAACAACUUCUGCGAUUAAGAAACUUAUAAAAUUUAAGACACAAGGUAAGGUGCUAGUUACAUACUAUGAAGAUAAUGAUUAUUAACAUUUAUUGGGCUCUGUGCCAGGUACAAGAUAUUAAUACAAAUUAAUGCAUCUGUUCCUCAGAAUAGUCAUCUAAGGAAGGUAGUGGUUUUCUAGGUAAGAAGUGUGAAACCCAAGGCUAGUAAAUUGAGUAAAUUAUGAAGCUAUGAUUAAAAUUUAGGUGAUUUGUCUCCAUGCCUAUCCUAUGCUAUCUCACUGUGCUAUAAUUAAAUGUAUAAUUAAAAGAAUGCUUCUUGUUAUAAUGUGUAAUUAAAUACAAAUGAAAAGCAUUAAGUUAAUUAAGCUUCAUUUCAAGAUGAAAUUAGUCAUGAAAAGUUUUUUUUGGAAGUGAUCAGCAUAUAACUUCAAUAAGGUUGGGUUUGAGUAUAAAUGAAAAUGAAGGAUGGUAUUUAUAGGUUAAAGGCACAGAGGUGACAAACAAUGAGGAUGUUCAAAUAGACAUGAACACAAGCAGAGGGUAUAUAGAAGGAAGUAAUGGGAAGUGAGGUUCCCUCUCCCAACAUUUUAUUAUAAAAUUGUUUUAAUACUCAGAAAAAUGAAAGAAUUGUAUGUAAACAUAAAUAUCUCGCUACCUUAAUUCUGUCAGUAACAUUUUAGUAUAUGUGUUUUGUCACAUAUCUAUCUGUCCCUCUUUCUGUAAGCCAAUCCAUCUUAAUUAUAAUUCAUUUCAAAGUAAGUUGCAGACAUCAGUAUAUUUCACCCCUAAACACUUCAUCACAUGUAUCAGUGAGUUCAAUAGUUGUUUAGUUAUAUUUUUGGAAGUAAAAGUUAUAUACAAUGAAUAACCAAAUCUUAAAUAUAGCAUUCAAUGAGUUUGACAAUUUCAUAUACAUUUAUAAAAUAAACCUUCAUCAAAAUAAAGAACACUACCAUUCCCGAAAUUUAUCUUUGGUUCUUAUCAGUUAUUUUUUGUAAUUGCCACCUCAGAGGCAACCAAUGCUCUGAUGCUUUUCAACCAUAGAUUAGUUUGCCUUUUUUAAGACUUCAUAUAAAAAGAAUUUCUUUCGUGUAUUUUUUUCAUUUAGUAUUUUG